Molecule: non-coding RNA, 176 nt
Filed under: Tissierella praeacuta DSM 18095
Lineage: Bacteria; Bacillati; Bacillota; Tissierellia; Tissierellales; Tissierellaceae
Description: 6S / SsrS RNA
Rfam family: 6S / SsrS RNA
About the family: E. coli 6S RNA was the first non coding RNA to be sequenced, but its function was unknown until recently. It consists of 184 nucleotides that fold into an extended hairpin structure with a large single-stranded internal bulge.
Source: Rfam by way of RNAcentral
AACUUUCUGCGGUGUACGUUGUCUCUGAUAAUUCAACCGACAUAACAGACAUGGGAGUCUGCGUUUAGCAUUGUAUAACAAGCCUUUUCGAGAGGAAGUUAGAAAAUGCUAACAGGAAACCCCCUUUUAAUAAGGCGGGCAUGAAUUAGCUGAGUUGACGGCAUUGCGGGAAAAAC